Non-coding RNA from Podarcis lilfordi (Lilford's wall lizard), 71 nucleotides. The record is from the annotation of a GenBank genome assembly. Lineage: Eukaryota; Metazoa; Chordata; Lepidosauria; Squamata; Lacertidae.
GGGCCAUAGCUCAGUGGAUGAGCAUCUGUUCUGUGUGCAGAAGGUCCUAGUUUUGAUCCCUGGCAUCUCCA